GAUGAAGAACGUAGCGAAAUGCGAUAAGUAAUGUGAAUUGCAGAAUUCAGUGAAUCAUCGAAUCUUUGAACGCACAUUGCGCCGGCCAGUAUUCUGGCGAGCAUGCCUGUUCGAGCGUCAUUUCAACCAUCAAGCCCCAGGCUUGUGUUGGAGCCCUGCGGCUGCCGCAGCCUCCCAAAACCAGUGGCGGGCUCGCUAUCACACCGAGUGCAGUAGUUUACUCUUCGCUCAGGGCGUGUGGCGGGUGCUAGCCGUGAAACCCCCAACUUCUCAAGGUUGACCUCGGAUCAGGUAGGAAUACCCGCUGAACUUAAGCAUAUCAAUAAGCGGAGGA
This 334-nucleotide unclassified non-coding RNA is filed under the name soil metagenome. RNAcentral describes it as "partial contains 5.8S ribosomal RNA, internal transcribed spacer 2, and large subunit ribosomal RNA". The stretch from base 1 to 120 matches the Rfam family "5.8S ribosomal RNA", at positions 35 to 154 of the family's 154-position model. The record is from RNAcentral.